GUGGGGAAUAUUGGACAAUGGGCGCAAGCCUGAUCCAGCAAUGCCGCGUGGGUGAAGAAGGUCUUCGGAUCGUAAAGCCCUUUCGACAGGGACGAUGAUGACGGUACCUGUAGAAGAAGCCCCGGCUAACUUCGUGCCAGCAGCCGCGGUAAUACGAAGGGGGCUAGCGUUACUCGGAAUUACUGGGCGUAAAGGGCGCGUAGGCGGCUCUGUUAGUCAGGCGUGAAAUUCCUGGGCUUAACCUGGGGAAUGCGCUUGAUACUGCAGGGCUUGAGGCCGAGAGGGGGUGGUGGAAUUCCCAGUGUAGAGGUGAAAUUCGUAGAUAUUGGGAAGAACACCGGUGGCGAAGGCGACCACCUGGCUCGGUUCUGACGCUGAGGCGCGACAGCGUGGGGAGCAAACAGGAUUAGAUACCCUUGUAGUCC
This 425-nucleotide ribosomal RNA is filed under the name uncultured bacterium. RNAcentral's name for it is "partial 16S ribosomal RNA". It matches the Rfam family "Bacterial small subunit ribosomal RNA", at positions 354 to 796 of the family's 1533-position model. The record is from RNAcentral.